CGUCAAGUCAGCAUGCCCCUUACACCCUGGGCUACACACGUGCUACAUUGGACGAGACAAUGAGACGCAAGUUUGCGAAAAUUAGCUAAUCUAUAAACUCGUUCUAAGUUCGGAUUGUAGGCUGCAACUCGCCUACAUGAAGGUGGAAUCGCUAGUAAUCGCUGGUCAGCUACACAGCGGUGAAUCCGUUCCCGGGCCUU
This 200-nucleotide ribosomal RNA is filed under the name uncultured prokaryote. RNAcentral's name for it is "partial 16S ribosomal RNA". It matches the Rfam family "Bacterial small subunit ribosomal RNA", at positions 1183 to 1382 of the family's 1533-position model. The record is from RNAcentral.